UGGGACUCUGAUUCUCCCACAGAGGGGCCGA
RNAcentral lists this non-coding RNA (31 nucleotides) under Mus musculus (house mouse). Lineage: Eukaryota; Metazoa; Chordata; Mammalia; Rodentia; Muridae. The record is from RNAcentral.